This 1014-nucleotide long non-coding RNA is filed under the name Carica papaya (papaya). RNAcentral's name for it is "long non-coding RNA (CPAP_LNC006375)". The record is from RNAcentral. Lineage: Eukaryota; Viridiplantae; Streptophyta; Magnoliopsida; Brassicales; Caricaceae.
UAGUGCUGGGCACUGCCGCAUAUGCGACAGGUGUUGCUGAGGCGGUAGCAGGGUCGGUCCCCGUGAUCCCUGCUACAGUGCUGGCAGAUCUUCCCACGUGCUGCCCCCGUAGCCUGAGGAGGGGCCUGGAUGGCGGGUCUGGGCCUCUUACUGGGUUGGACAGGCGCGGUAGGUGCUGGCCUGCGGAGCGGGACUGAGGGUCGGGAACACCCCGCUAGCUGAGGGUGGGUGUCGAAGCUCCUUUCUAUGAUAUGCGCCUUUGCUAGGACUGCUGAAUAUGUCUCGAGCUCCAUUACCAGUAAAUGCUGUCUGAUCUACGGGCGGAGACCCCACUGGAAUUUUCUGGCCUUUCGGCCCUCAUCCAUCAAUGUCUCCGGGGCAUAUCGGCCCAGCUCCAGGAACUUACGGGCAUACUCCGACAUUGUCAUGUUUCCCUGGACCAAUUGAGCAAACUCCAUUUUCUUUAGGUGUUGGAUGUGUUUAGGGAGAUACUCCGCGUGGAAGGCCGCUAAGAACUGCUCCCAAGUAGCUGGUGUGGGCAGGGUGGUCCGCUUGAGCUCCCACCAGCGUACUGCUUCCCCUACCAGCAUGUAGGAGGCAAUGGCAACCCUCUGCUCAAGAACUACUCCCAAGGUCUCGAAAGCUCUCUCGGUUUCUGCCAGCCAGUAUUGGGCCUCUUGAAAAGAGGAUCCCCCUGCAAAAGUAGAAGGGUUCAGUCUUCUGUACCUCUCUAUGAAGCCGGAGUCGAUCAAGGAAGGAGCAGGGUCCCGAGGUAGAGGGACUGGGGCCGGUUGAGGGUGAACUGGGGGACCCUGUGGUGGCACCUGCUAAUGUGGUGGGGGUACUGGAAUGUGCUGUGGCGGUGCCUGGUGGUACCGUGGCUGUGGUACCGGGUCGUACCGCGGCUGUGGUGCCGGGUGGUACUGUGGAGGAGCAGGCUCCUGCCGGGGUGGCUCGGGAUCAGCCUACUGUAGCGGGGGCUCAACCUGCGAUAGCGGAGGAGGUCCGGGUAAC